AAGAAAGUAGCAUAGCGGUCAUGUGAUUGGCUUGAAACCAAUUGACGGGGGUUCGACUCCUUCCUUUCUCG
This 71-nucleotide transfer RNA is filed under the name Gastropsetta frontalis (shrimp flounder). RNAcentral describes it as "tRNA-Ser". It matches the Rfam family "tRNA". Rfam says of the family: Transfer RNA (tRNA) molecules are approximately 80 nucleotides in length. Their secondary structure includes four short double-helical elements and three loops (D, anti-codon, and T loops). The record is from RNAcentral. Lineage: Eukaryota; Metazoa; Chordata; Actinopteri; Pleuronectiformes; Paralichthyidae.